UAUUUUCUCCGGGACGCUAAAACAGAAAGCGGGAAAAACUAAAAUAAUUCUAUCAUUUUUCUUCUAAGCAACAUAAAAAGAAAGCUCAAAACAGAGGUAUGUGACUCUUUGAUUCAUCCGUCUCAUGGUCAUCAAAAGAAAUCCGUCAAUGGGAUUGAUCAAGUCCUUAUGAAAAAAUCUUCUCGAAUCGCAAGAGAGAACGGAGAAUUUUCGAAUAGCCACUAAGUCACCUCAAUGGGGAUAUGUAUCUC
RNAcentral lists this long non-coding RNA (251 nucleotides) under Hordeum vulgare. Its description in RNAcentral is "long non-coding RNA (HVUL_LNC009596)". Lineage: Eukaryota; Viridiplantae; Streptophyta; Magnoliopsida; Poales; Poaceae. The record is from RNAcentral.